This 67-nucleotide microRNA precursor is filed under the name Camelina sativa (false flax). RNAcentral describes it as "miR156j stem-loop (cas-MIR156j)". Its record names the gene cas-MIR156j. The record is from miRBase by way of RNAcentral. Lineage: Eukaryota; Viridiplantae; Streptophyta; Magnoliopsida; Brassicales; Brassicaceae.
UUGACAGAAGAGAGAGAGCACAGCUUGAGUCUGUGCUAUUGUUGUUCAUCAUCUCUGGACAUGUUAU